Molecule: long non-coding RNA, 895 nt
Organism: Helianthus annuus (common sunflower)
Lineage: Eukaryota; Viridiplantae; Streptophyta; Magnoliopsida; Asterales; Asteraceae
Exons: 2
Source: RefSeq, a predicted model, not a curated record
AGAUAUUGUCUAGUUACGACGAACCCAGCCGGUCUAGAAAACCACACCCACAGUUUCAAAAAAGGAAACUACUUGCAGCCCCACUUGUUCUGCUAAAUUCACUGAACCCAUACUUCACGCCAAUGGAUUUCAAUUUCAUCAAAUUCAAUCAAUCCUCCUCAUUCUCAUCUCACAAAUCUCUUCGUCAGAAACACAUUCGUUUGCUGAUUCAUCAGGUUGAAAAUCUACAGAUCUCGAAUCAGUCGAGAUUCAAUUCCACAUGUGUUUAGAAAUCAGUGAAGAACUUUGACAAAAUAAAUUUGAGUAGAUCUAAUUUAUGGAAGUAAGAAGAAUGAAUAUGAAUAUGAGCUCUCAUAAACGCAGCAGCAGCAGCAGCGGUAGUGGUGGUGGUAUUACUACAACGGUGGUGCAGCAGGAGUACGAAAAGCACCGAUCAUCAUCAUCAUCAAAUAGUUACAGCUAUGGAGAUAAAAAAAUGAUGAUGAUAUCGAAACCAAAAUCAAAGAACAGGAGCAGCUACUUCAGCUUGGAAUCAAUGCUGGUGCUGGUAGGCCUAGCGGCGUCGUUGUUGAUACUGCCUCUGAUACUACCGCCUCUUCCUCCACCGCCGCUGAUGCUGCUGCUGCUGCCGAUCUUCAUUAUGGCUGUUCUGAUGGUGUUCGCAUUCAAGCCUUCUUCUUCAGCGUCUACUGCUCGUCACAAGGCGAUCGCCUAGAUCUCCAUUUUGUGAUAGUUUUAAGAGAUGUAAAGAAGGAUCAUACUGUUAGUUACGGAAAUUGUUCAUCAUUAUUUUAUUUCUGAAUUUGUAAUUUACUGAGUAUGUUAAUUUGGUUCCUAAAAUACACGUUUUGUUUGAAAAUAAAUAGCUUUUACAAGCUGGAUUAUUCGUGGACGA